Molecule: ribosomal RNA, 259 nt
Filed under: uncultured bacterium
Lineage: Bacteria
Description: partial 16S ribosomal RNA
Rfam family: Bacterial small subunit ribosomal RNA
Source: RNAcentral
UACGUAGGGUGCGAGCGUUGUCCGGAAUUAUUGGGCGUAAAGAGCUCGUAGGCGGUCUGUCGCGUCUGCUGUGAAAACCCCGAGGCUCAACCUCGGGCCUGCGGUGGGUACGGGCAGACUAGAGUGAUGUAGGGGAGACGUGGAAUUCCUGGUGUGAGCGGUGGAAAUACGCAGAUAUCAGGAGGAACACCGAUGGCGAAGGCAGGUCUCUGGGCCGUAACUGGACGCUGAGGAGCGAAAGCAUGGGGGAGCGAACAGG